RNAcentral lists this ribosomal RNA (440 nucleotides) under uncultured bacterium. Its description in RNAcentral is "partial 16S ribosomal RNA". It matches the Rfam family "Bacterial small subunit ribosomal RNA", at positions 338 to 795 of the family's 1533-position model. The record is from RNAcentral.
CCUACGGGAGGCAGCAGUAGGGAAUAUUGCUCAAUGGGGGAAACCCUGAAGCAGCAACGCCGCGUGGAGGAUGAAGGUUUUCGGAUUGUAAACUCCUUUUGUUAGAGAAGAUAAUGACGGUACCUAACGAAUAAGCCCCGGCUAACUCCGUGCCAGCAGCCGCGGUAAUACGGAGGGUGCAAGCGUUACUCGGAUUCACUGGGCGUAAAGGUGGCGUAGGCGGGGUUGCAAGUCAGAUGUGAAAUCUUAUGGCUUAACCCUAGAACUGCAUUUGAAACUGUUAGUCUAGAGUGUGGGAGAGGUAGGUGGAAUGCUUGGUGUAGGGGUGAAAUGCGUAGAGAUCAAGAGGAAUACUCAUUGCGAAGGCGACCUGCUAGACCAUAACUGACGCUGAGGCGCGAAAGCGUGGGGAGCAAACAGGAUUAGAUACCCGGGUAGUC